ACCGUGUCCUACCUCCUUCUGUGACCAAGUAACACAUAUGCUCAAGGACAUCAUCUAUUGAAUCUCUCUUCCAUCCACUUCUAGCAGUAAUCUGACAGUAGCAGUUUUUCCAAACUGGAAAAACUCAUUUUUCUUAAAUGAUACUUAACAAUACUCAUUUACUGUACUAUGAGUGCAUUUUAUAAUAACUAUUAAUUAAGUGUUUUUUGUCCUCUCUUCUUCAUUUCAAUACAUGAUAGUAGAUGAUUUUUUUAAGUAAAAUACAUGAAUUAAGUUUUCCAAAAUAGAGAAUACUUUUGACAUUAGUACAAGUAAAUACAAGAACUUUAUUUUAAAAAUAGAAGUAAAUACAAGUAAAUGAACUAUUAAGUAGAUGUGCAAUGUCUGACUGUAAGAUUAUACUUAAUCAAUCAAUCAUAAAAACUUACUAGGGUCAAAUAAAGUUCAAUAGAUAUGAUAGUAGAAAUGACAAUGUGAUAUUAUAUCAACAAUACAGACUAAUAAAUGAAAUACUGACUAAAGUACCAAUUGGUGCUGUAACAGUUGAACUUCACAGAAACACUUUUGUUUUUGAAACAGGAGAAUCAAACAGCACCCUUUGGAAUAAUGGGGAGCCACCAUAUGAUGGAUUCCCAGUAACUAAUAUUGAUAAAAACAAUCUUGUAUUAGUUGUUAUAUACAAUGUGGCAGCUACUGGUGGCCUUGUUUUUGCAUGUGCUUGUUUCACUUUCAAUUUUGUGUUUAGAAGAAGAAAGAUCGUUAAACUGACAAGUUGUAACCUAAAUAAUAUAAUCAUACUGGGAUCUGCAUUGCUAUAUACAAGUAUUUUCUUUUAUUCUUACUCUUCAAACAACAAGACUAUACGAACAGUAUUCUGUAAUGUAAGCUAUACAAAACCACUAUUAUGUUUGUUUUUAAUGUACACAGUGGUGAGUACUCUAUGGUGGUCGCCCUUGGGCUAUACCUACAGGCUUGGUGCCUAUUGCAUCAUAUAGCACUCACUGCUGUGUUAUUACUAUUCUGUAAUGUAAGCUAGCUAUAA
Molecule: long non-coding RNA, 1042 nt
Organism: Amphimedon queenslandica
Lineage: Eukaryota; Metazoa; Porifera; Demospongiae; Haplosclerida; Niphatidae
Exons: 4
Source: RefSeq, a predicted model, not a curated record